This 425-nucleotide ribosomal RNA is filed under the name uncultured prokaryote. RNAcentral describes it as "bacterial SSU rRNA". It matches the Rfam family "Bacterial small subunit ribosomal RNA", at positions 355 to 774 of the family's 1533-position model. The record is from RNAcentral.
UCUAGAGGCUUCGUCAAUGGGGGAAACCCUGAACGAGCGACGCCGCGUGCGGGAUUGAAGGCCUUCGGGUUGUAAACCGCUGUCAGGAGGGAAGAAUGCCCGAGUGGUGAACUCGGGAGCGACGGUACCUCUGGAGGAAGCCCCGGCUAACUCCGUGCCAGCAGCCGCGGUAAUACGGAGGGGGCAAGCGUUGUUCGGAUUUACUGGGCGUAAAGGGUGUGUAGGCGGCCGCGCAAGUCUGGUGUGAAAUCUUCAUCGCUUAACGGGAAGAGGUCACUGGAAACUGCGUGGCUCGAGUAUGGUAGAGGCAAGCGGAAUUCCUGGUGUAGCGGUGGAAUGUGUAGAUAUCAGGAAGAACAUCUGUGGCGAAGGCGGCUUGCUGGGCCAUUACUGACGCUGAGACACGAAAGCGUGGGGAGCAAACG